GACGAACGCUGGCGGCGUGCUUAACACAUGCAAGUCGAACGGAAAGGCCUCUUUCGGGGGGUACUCGAGUGGCGAACGGGUGAGUAACACGUGAGUAACCUGCCCUUGACUUUGGGAUAACUUCAGGAAACUGGGGCUAAUACCGGAUAGGAGCUCCUGCUGCAUGGUGGGGGUUGGAAAGUUUCGGCGGUUGGGGAUGGACUCGCGGCUUAUCAGCUUGUUGGUGGGGUAGUGGCUUACCAAGGCUUUGACGGGUAGCCGGCCUGAGAGGGUGACCGGCAACAUUGGGACUGAGAGACGGCCCAGACUCCUACGGGAGGCAGCAGUGGGGAAUAUUGCACAAUGGGUGGAAGCCUGAUGCAGCAACGCCGUGUGCGGGAUGACGGCCUUCGGGUUGGAAACCGCUUUCGCUCAUGACGAAGCUUUGUGUGACGGUAGUGGGUAAAGAAGCACCGGCUAACUACGUG
This 467-nucleotide ribosomal RNA is filed under the name uncultured bacterium. RNAcentral's name for it is "partial 16S ribosomal RNA". It matches the Rfam family "Bacterial small subunit ribosomal RNA", at positions 28 to 507 of the family's 1533-position model. The record is from RNAcentral.